CGCAGCGUUGUGCAAUUAGUUACCAUGAUAGAUGAUUUUCAUUGUUGUUGUUCCUGUUGUUGUUUUUUGGGCAACAACAAUGACAAACUUUUUACUAGCGUCAGUCAGGUAGUAAUAACAGUCAGUUUGUGAGUAACUGAACUAUUUGUGAUAUAUGAAAACCAAACGCUCAUACGCACAGUUAGCCAGGCAUAAAACGUUAAAUGCUAAUUUAAAUAUUUUUGCACUGUUGACUGACAGUCGGCAGCUGGAAAUUUCUAAUUAAAAUACAUAGUAGUUGCUCGAAAGUUGUUUGCAACUUUUGUGGGCGUCAGCAUUCAAUAUCAAUAGACGGCAUUUAAUAAAAUUCAAGUUGAAAGAAGCAAAAGCACACAGCCAAAGCAAUUGCAAAAACCUUGAUGGUAAUCAAAGCGUUCAGCUGAAGCACAAGCAGCACAAUGAAAUCGCAGCCAGUGCCCCGCCAACAAACUCCCCUCUUUUGGUAUUCGCAAUUUCGUUAAUAAAACGGCAAUAGCUGGCAAUCGAAGUGAGCCAGCAAAAAGAAAAGUCUAUUGCAAUUCAUCCACUAUUGUAUUCUAUUCAUUUUGCUAACAAUUUUGAACUCGCUCACAGAGUUGAGUACCCGCUGCGAAAUAUGAACUACAUUGCUUUUAACAGCUUUGAAAGCAUUUGCUUUGUCAACUGGCAAACAGCGAAAUGUAGCAGCAGUCUGGAAGAGAUCAUGUAAAACUAACGAUAUUAAACUGCUAUGAAAAUUUAUACAUAUUGAAAAAAUUCACUAAAGAAAAA
Molecule: non-coding RNA, 789 nt
Organism: Drosophila virilis
Lineage: Eukaryota; Metazoa; Arthropoda; Insecta; Diptera; Drosophilidae
Source: RefSeq, a predicted model, not a curated record